Molecule: ribosomal RNA, 301 nt
Filed under: uncultured bacterium
Lineage: Bacteria
Description: partial 16S ribosomal RNA
Rfam family: Bacterial small subunit ribosomal RNA
Source: RNAcentral
CAGUCGCCACGGUAAUACGUAGGUGGCAAGCGUUGUCCGGAAUUAUUGGGCGUAAAGGGCUCGCAGGCGGUUUCUUAAGUCUGAUGUGAAAGCCCCCGGCUCAACCGGGGAGGGUCAUUGGAAACUGGGAAACUUGAGUGCAGAAGAGGAGAGUGGAAUUCCACGUGUAGCGGUGAAAUGCGUAGAGAUGUGGAGGAACACCAGUGGCGAAGGCGACUCUCUGGUCUGUAACUGACGCUGAGGAGCGAAAGCGUGGGGAGCGAACAGGAUUAGAUACCCGUGUAGUCCCUGUCUCUUAUAU